GUCUUCUUGUUAUAUUUGGGAAGUCUGGCCUGCCCAGUGAAAAUAAUUUAACGGCCGCGGUAUACUGACCGUGCAAAGGUAGCAUAAUCAUUAGUCUUUUAAUAGAGGGCUGGUAUGAAGGGUUUAACGAGGUGUUGACUGUCUCAUUUAAUUUGAACUUAGAACUUAAUUUUUUAGUUAAAAAGCUAAAAUUUUAUUGGAAGACGAGAAGACCCUAUAGAGCUUUAUAUUUUUACUAUUAAUUUAUUAUAGAUUAUUAUUAUUUAUUAUUGGUAUAAAAUAUUUUGUUGGGGUGACAAAAAUAUAUAAAUAACUUUUUUAUUUCAUUUACAUUGCUAUAUGAAUAUUAGAUCCAAUCUUAUUGAUUGUUAGAUUAAGUUACCUUAGGGAUAACAGCGUAAUCCCUCUCCAGAGUUCAUAUUUACAGAGGGGCUUGCGACCUCGAUGUUGGAUUAAGAUAAUAAUUAGGUGUAGCCGCUUAAUUAAUAGGUCUGUUCGACCUUUAAAUUCUU
Molecule: ribosomal RNA, 512 nt
Filed under: Aeshna crenata
Lineage: Eukaryota; Metazoa; Arthropoda; Insecta; Odonata; Aeshnidae
Description: partial 16S rRNA
Rfam family: Bacterial large subunit ribosomal RNA
Source: RNAcentral